GAUGGGAUGACAGCAGACGAUAAAAGAUGAUGAUGAGGAUGAUGGGGGGAGGAAUUCCUGCCCUUUGGACCCAGUUUUCCUUCGAAGUCCAAACCCUCACCCCCCAGGUUUCCUUUCCCAUCUUUGGCCUGAAGAGAAGAGGGGGGGGAACGUGCUACGAAGGAGGAUAGAGGAGCUCCUCCCCUCCUUUUGGGCGUUUCUUCAAAAGAGAAACCAAAAGCGGGCGAGAGGGCGCUUAUCCUGACCCUUUUCCCGCGUCUUUAGGGUCUUUAUGCAGGGAUUACAACCUCGAAGGAGGAGAGCCAUUGGGAGGUGUGCAAAAGAUGGGGGGCUUUUUCGCCCCUAAAAUGGAAUGCAAAAGGGUUUUGCACGGGGGGGGCGUCGCCGAUUCUCCGUGAAAUCCGGAUUGUAAAUUAGCUCACCCCCCUUGUUGUGCAUUGCAGGCAGGCCUUGCAAGGCAGGCGUUUGUUUUGCUUCUCUGAUUCCGUGAGGGGCGGAGGUGGGGGGAGAUGGGAUGUCUCGGGGUCCCGAUCCCACCCUUGAAGGCAGGAGAACCCCACCCCCACCCCCCAAUGACUCAGAGAGAGACACAACCCUUCGCUUGAAUCCUGGAGGCACCGGGUGGGGGCGGGUAAAGAGAAAAAAAAAGAACGAGAGAAAGUAACUUGGCUUCCCUCACCGCCCACACAGCCUUUUCUGGAGAACUCGGGAGAACUUAUUUUGGAGGCUCACUGCAUCGAGGCUGGAGCUCAGCAAGGCAAAGAGGGACCGGACGGGUCCACUUUCGCACUCCCACCCCACAGAAACAGAAGGGGAAACAGCAGGGAUCUUUCCAUCUCACGCACAGUCAAAAGCAGGACUCCUCCAGUUCAAGCACAAAUCAGUGGAAUUCUCUCGACCCUGACAUCUCUCUCUCUACCCAGAGAUAUUCUUUCUCUGUUCCUCUCUCAAAUGGGAACGGAGGAGGAUUGUACGACCGUCAAGAUCCUGCCAUUCAGGAGGCAAGUAGAAUUAUGUAUUACAAUGCGUAUGACCCUUUCCCUUCUCAAUAGUCCAUACAGCCCCUCCCCCCACGUUGCUAAAAGUUUAUUACUUUGCCCUUCUGCUUUCCACAGAUCCGUGGACCAACUCCCCAGGUCCCGACCGGAGGGAGGGAGACGGAGUGGUACAAAUUGAGCGAGCUUCUAGUCACGGGAAAGUUGGCAGGAAAGUGGUAGGGAGGGAUCCCUAUACGGUUGAAUAUGGUUGGCAUAAAUUGGGCUGGGAUCACCUUCUACUCAGAAGGAAACAUAAACGUAAGGAUAUUUUUUCUUUUUCAACCAUCAAGUUGCUUCUGACUUAGGUGGACUCUGAUAAUUAAGCACCUCCAGAAUUUCUAUUGUCCAUCACCUAGUCCAGAUUUUGGAAAAGCAAGGCAGGGGAUUCCUUUCUUGAGUCACUCUCUCUUAUGUUCAUGCCUCCUCUUCUCCUACAGCCUUCCCAUCUGCCAACAAAAUCUCAAGUAGGGAGUGUGUGUCUGGGACUUGCUCAAAGUCCCUCUAAUUUUUUUCUCAUAUUCCACGUAAGUGGCCAUUUCUCACAUUUUCUGCCUCUAACUCAGUUUGCCUUGUGUCCAAUCAGACCUCUCAGUGACGGACAAGGUUUAGAUAAUUCUCUUCAACCAAUUUCUGCAUCUCAGCUUUAGUACUAAUACUACUCUCUGUGGUCGACUUACGACUCAAGUAGGUGAUUCACCCAUUAACAGCUCAAAAUCCUCUUGUGUAGCUAGGCCUGCAGAACUUGGAGCUGUAGUGAGAGUUGAACAGAAAUAAAAGUCAUAUCCAGGAAGCA
Molecule: long non-coding RNA, 1830 nt
Organism: Pogona vitticeps (central bearded dragon)
Lineage: Eukaryota; Metazoa; Chordata; Lepidosauria; Squamata; Agamidae
Source: Ensembl